UAGGGAAUCUUCCGCAAUGGACGCAAGUCUGACGGAGCAACGCCGCGUGAGUGAAGAAGGAUUUCGGUUCGUAAAACUCUGUUGUUAGAGAAGAACAGCGCAUAGAGUAACUGUUAUGCGUGUGACGGUAUCUAACCAGAAAGCCACGGCUAACUACGUGCCAGCAGCCGCGGUAAUACGUAGGUGGCAAGCGUUGUCCGGAUUUAUUGGGCGUAAAGCGAGCGCAGCGGUCAAUUAAGUCUGAUGUGAAAGCCCCCGGCUCAACCGGGGAGGGUCAUUGGAAACUGGUUGACUUGAGUGCAGAAGAGGAGAGUGGAAUUCCAUGUGUAGCGGUGAAAUGCGUAGAUAUAUGGAGGAACACCAGUGGCGAAGGCGACUCUCUGGUCUGUAACUGACGCUGAGGCUCGAAAGCGUGGGUAGCAAACAGG
This 428-nucleotide ribosomal RNA is filed under the name Bacteroidota bacterium. RNAcentral describes it as "Bacteroidetes bacterium partial 16S ribosomal RNA". It matches the Rfam family "Bacterial small subunit ribosomal RNA", at positions 355 to 776 of the family's 1533-position model. Lineage: Bacteria; Pseudomonadati; Bacteroidota. The record is from RNAcentral.